CGGAGACAAGUGAAGAGAACUGACUUACACCUUAAAGAACUGCUGUUUGCUCUGUAAAGGUUGCCCUUCAUCACUCAGCAGUGAAGAAUGAAAAUCAACAGAGCUUUCCCCAGCCUGCUGCUUAAGCAGCUGCUAGCAGGCUGAGGCUGCCCAGCCUCAUUAACCCAUUAGAUGCUGCGUUCGCCCGGGAGUCAUUCUUAAUGAGGCUGCUGCAGAUGAGAAAACAGAAGCAAAGGCAGAAAGAUGCUACAUUGCCAGCUUUGAAGAUGGAGGGAAGAGGUCACAAACCAAGGAAGGUGAGUGGUGCCUAGAAGUUGGAAAAGACAUGGAAACACAUUCUUCUGUAAAGCACUUAGAAAGAAAUACAGUCUUCCAAAAUGUUGAUCUUAGCCAGGCAAUGAGGACGUUGCACAAGACAGUCCCUGAUACCCAGAGUUUACUGCCUAAGAGAGGAUACAUCCUUCAAACCAAUAAUCUGCUAAUAGCAAGAUCCAAUAGCUUCAUGGAUAUUGAAAGAAACUGAGAAUCAAAUUUGCAUACUUCUGAGUCACUUGGAAACAAAAAACAAGUACAGUCUUAGAUUCUGAGGGAACAAAAAUUAAAAAUCACAUUAGGAAGAGAAUUCCUAAUGUAGGAACUCAUCCUGGAAGAUUCUUCAGCAAAAGUACAGACAAUAAUAAUAAUACUCCAUGAAGUUACCAUCGAUAUUGAAUGAAUUAAUGAAUGUAAAAACCUCAAAACCCUGCCUGGCCCAGAGCUUUGGAAUGGGUUUGGAUCUACCACUCAACUGCUUUAUGACUUCAGACCAGUUAUUUAAAUUCCCUGAAGCUCAGUUUCCACAUCU
This 844-nucleotide long non-coding RNA is filed under the name Homo sapiens (human). RNAcentral's name for it is "HSALNT0367162". The record is from RNAcentral. Lineage: Eukaryota; Metazoa; Chordata; Mammalia; Primates; Hominidae.